CUUGAACAAAAAGUUUCUUUGUAAUCAAGUAAUUUAACAGCAAAGCUCUCCGUUAUGUUUAUGUAUUUGUAGCCAUCUUUACAACAGAAUAAGUUAAAAGGAGACAUAAAAUCGUAUGACAUUUUUAAUUCUAAAUUUUCAUCAUAUUUUUUUUAUCAAAAGACGAAACAGUCAAAAAAGUAAUGACACUUUUAGUUUUUAGAUUUAUAUUCAAAAUGAAAUAUCAUGGAUAUCAUACAAAUACUGUAAUCUAACACAUACUUCUUUAAUGUGCGUUUAUAGAACACUGCAUUAAGGGUUAACACCACUUUGUUUAUAUUAGUCCGAGAUUACUCUGACCUCCAACGGCUGUUUUGCCAGACAAGCUGGGGCCGUCCUAGCUGAGGAACCGUAGCUCUUAGCUCCUUAUGAUAUUUUUUGAUUAUUUGCGGUCCGCCCUUAUGUUUUUUUUUGACUAUUUACGGUCCGCAAAUAGUCAAAAACAUAAGGACCUAAGAGCUACGGCCGUCCCAUAUCAAAAAGUGGAUAAUUGCUCGUCCAAAAUAGAUGCUCUGCUUCGUCGCUUCUGGUGCCAACGGACAGCCUUGGAAUUAUAAAAAUUUGGUUUCAAUUUGUUCAUUUUUCAUUUAUCUCUUCAUUUAUGCAAGUUUCACCUACCUGCCACCCUUUAUUUUCUCAUAUUUAGACAGUUUUCACAAUGACCCGCCAAUUCUGGCAUUUUGACUUUCAUUUUGAAAGAUUGUCAUGUGAUCACGAGAAAAAAAUAAGACACAAUGGACUAUGGGAAAUGAUGUACAUGUAUGCAUAUGACCCUAGGUCAAUAUGAAUAUAUAAUCUAACACCUCGCUCAUUUACGAUGCAAGCAAUGUAAAUAUUGGAGAGCUUCCGAAUGUUAUCGUGGUUGGAACUAAAUGCUUAAUACCUAUAUCCUGUAAAGGAGGUGAAAAAUCGUGGUUGGCUACUAAAUGUUAAAUAUCGAUCUCCUUUAAAGGAGGUGAAAAAAGUAUGAAUAUUUGCAUAUUUGAGUCUCGAGGUCUCGUAACUUGACCUUAAAGAGGGAGGGUCCUGAUCCUGAAAUCCUGGGCUUAAAAACACGAAAUCCAGAGGUCCCCAAUUUAAAUAAAUUUAAAUCCUGUCAUUCCGAAAUUCAAAAAAAGAUUUCUGGGAUCCCGAAAGGGUCAAUCCUGAAAUCCCAAGCUUAAAAACACCUGAUCCCGGGGUCCCGAUAAAGGUCCUAUUCCCCCUCUUAAACCCCCUGACUUAUCUUCCAAUAAAAAUGAGUUUCAUGGGCUAGUGGAAAUUUUAAAAAAGUUGCUAAAGCAUGCAUGUACAAUUAUGUAUAUAUCACCAGACUUAUUUGGACUUAAUUUUAAUUUUUAUCAUUUAUUUAGAAAUUGGACUUUUGGAAAAGAUAUUAUUUUACAAAUUUAAAUAUUUACAUGUGUAUUAAUCUUAAUUAGUGGCAUUUAGCAUGUUUAAUGUUGGAAUAUUUGUGACAGAUUUAUUUAUUGAGUUACAGAAAUUAAUAUGAAAGACAUUAAUUCAUACUAAAGGUGUGAAAAUUAUUGUAUAGGAAAAUGAAAGAAUAAGAUUAUGAGUAUUAUAAAUUAUAAUUAAAAUUCUUUAAGAGGGGACGAAAGAUACCAAAGGGACAGUCAAACUCCAUAAAUCUAAAACAAAACUGCAAGCCAUGGCUAAAAAUGAAAAGACCAAACAGAAAAACAAAAUAGUACACAAGACACAACAUAGAAAACUAAAGAAAAAACAACAACGAACCCCACCACAACUAGGGGUGAUCUCAGGUGCUCCGAAGGGUAAGCAGAGAUCCUGCUCCAAUUACCUUUGAUAUUAAUGAAUGUGAAUGCUGUCACUUAUAGCGUAAAGUUAUGAAAUGUCAUUUUUAAUUUGAGUAUUGUCAUGUUAAUUGAGUAUUGUAUAUUUUCGAUAUUCAGUAUAAAUACUUAUUGUAAACUUUGUAAAAUCAGAACAUCAGUAAGAUACAGUAGGAGUCACAUUAAAUGUAUUGACAUUGUCCUUUGUAUAGUUUAUGUUAGAACUUUGGCUUGGAAUUAAAUUAUAUAACUUGAAUGUGUUGGAUUUUUGUGAACUGCAACAACUAGGUCCUGAUAGGGGUGACCUUCAAAGCAUAAUUGUUUUUCUAAUGAUUUUACAAAGAAAAUCAUGACCCUGUAACACGCCCCUUGGUUACAUAUACAUUUUUGUCGAGCCUUCGACUUUAGUCGAAAAAGCGAGACCUAAGCUCUCCUACAUUGGUCGGCGGCGGCGUCACAAAUAUUCACUCUGUGUUAAAGUUUUUAAAAUUUUAAUAAUUCUUAACUAUCCUGGGAUUUCUACAAACUUGACAGAAGCUUGUUUAUGAUCAUAAGAUAGUAUCCAGAAGAAAUUUUGUAAAAAUAAAAUUCCUUUUCUUAUUUUACUUUUUAAAUGGACUUAGUUUUUCUGCCAGGAAAUAGUUACAUUCCCUCUGGUUAAGUUUUAAAUUUUUAUAACUUUCUUAACUAUUCUGGGUUGGUACCAAACUUGGACAGAAACUUUUUAUGAUAUAAGAUAGUAUCCAGAAGUAAUUUUUGUGAAAAAUUAAAUCCAUUUUUCUGUAUUUUUACUUUUAAAAAGACUUAGAUUUUCUGUCAGGAAACACCACAAUUCACUCUGUGGUUAAACUUUUUAAAAUUUAUAAUAACUUUCUUAUAUACUAUUUUGGAUUUGUAACCAAAUCUUGGACAGAACUUGUAAUGAUUCAAAAAAGCUAGUAUCUAGAACGAAAUUAAAAAAAAAAUAAUCUGUUUUUCGUAUUUUACUUUUAAAAAAUGAACUCUGCCAGAAACAACACAUUCACUCUGUAGCAUUUGAAAAUGUAGUUAACCUUUUUAAAAUUUAUCUUUCUUAUACUAUUUUGGAUUUAUACCAAACUUGGACAGAAGCUUGUUAUUGAUCAAAAGCUAGUAUCUAGAAGGAAUUUAGUUUUUUCUUCAGUUAACAUUCAUUUGUCCCUACAGUUAAAAGUUUUUAAACAUUUAUUAGAUUCAUAACCUUCUGGAUUUUUACCAAAACUUGGACAGAAGUUCUUACAAUUUAAAAAGAUAAUAUCAACAGGAAUAUUUUAAAUUGAUUUAUUUUCCUUUUAUUUUUUGUUGAGCCUGCGAUUAAACAGAAAGAGUAGGCAAAGAACACUGGGUUUCCGCGAACCCUUACAAAUUUUUAUAGAAGUAUUUUUUCUUAAAAUUUAUGAGCUUUUUGCCAGAUGUAAACAUAAUGCUAUUGCUAAAAUGUGUUCUUACAUUGUAGUCUAAUGAUAGAUAUUUUAAAACAGUAGGCCUACAUGUAUUAUACAAGUAUUUGAUAUAUAUGUUUUAUAUAAUUUAUAAACUUUGAAUCUAGAUAUAUUUUUAACCAUGUUAACAUAGUUAUUUUAUUAUUUUAUUUAAAAUAUGAGACAUAAUUGUUUUUGUAUUGCAGACUUUUUACAUUUGUGAUGAACUUACUACUAAAUAUUUUGAAAUGGAGCCAUAAUUGAAGAUUCAUGAUGAGUCAAAAAAUAAAGCCUAAUAUGACUAAAGGUGAUGUUUCCUAUUUACGGGCU
This 3601-nucleotide long non-coding RNA is filed under the name Mytilus galloprovincialis (Mediterranean mussel). Lineage: Eukaryota; Metazoa; Mollusca; Bivalvia; Mytilida; Mytilidae. The record is from RNAcentral.